This 495-nucleotide ribosomal RNA is filed under the name uncultured bacterium. RNAcentral describes it as "partial 16S ribosomal RNA". It matches the Rfam family "Bacterial small subunit ribosomal RNA", at positions 28 to 507 of the family's 1533-position model. The record is from RNAcentral.
GACGAACGCUGGCGGCGUGCCUAAUACAUGCAAGUAGAACGCUGAAGGAGGAGCUUGCUUCUCUGGAUGAGUUGCGAACGGGUGAGUAACGCGUAGGUAACCUGCCUGGUAGCGGGGGAUAACUAUUGGAAACGAUAGCUAAUACCGCAUAAUAGCAGUUGUUGCAUGACAACUGUUUGAAAGGUGCAAUUGCACCACUACCAGAUGGACCUGCGUUGUAUUAGCUAGUUGGUGGGGUAACGGCUCACCGAGGCGACGAUACAUAGCCGACCUGAGAGGGUGAUCGGCCACACUGGGACUGAGACACGGCCCAGACUCCUACGGGAGGCAGCAGUAGGGAAUCUUCGGCAAUGGACGGAAGUCUGACCGAGCAACGCCGCGUGAGUGAAGAAGGUUUUCGGAUCGUAAAGCUCUGUUGUAAGAGAAGAACGAGUGUGAGAGUGGAAAGUUCACACUGUGACGGUAUCUUACCAGAAAGGGACGGCUAACUACGUG